RNAcentral lists this ribosomal RNA (374 nucleotides) under uncultured Glomeromycotina. RNAcentral describes it as "LSU rRNA". The record is from RNAcentral. Lineage: Eukaryota; Fungi; Glomeromycota.
UUGAAAGGGAAACGAUUGAAGUCAGUCGUACCAGCGGGAAAUCAACCUUUCGGGUGGGGGUUUUGGAGUUUGAAGAGUGUUAAAACCUUUGAGAUUUCAAAAUGUUCGCUCUUUUGGUGUACUUUCUCGUAGGUAGGUUAACAUCGAUUUUGAUCAUCAUAAAAGGAUUGGAGGAAUGUAGCUUCGAUCUCGUAUUGAAGUGUUAUAGCCUUUGGUAAAUGUGAUGAUUAGGAUCGAGGAUUGCAACGAAUACCCUUUUGGGCUAUCCGCCUGAUCUCUGAUACGUGACCUUGGUAUUGAAAGCGUGCUUAUGAUAUUGAGGUAUUACGGUCAAAAGGUUAGAACGGAUUACAUUCGUUAAGGAUGUUGACGUA